ACGUAUUCUCAGGGCGGGGCGGAAUUCCCCACCGGCGGUAUGCGGCGCAGAUCGCGAGCCCGCGAGCGCCUUCCAAUGGAAGGGUCAGCAGAUCAGGUGCGAUGCCUGAGCCGACGGUCAUAGUCCGGAUGGAAGAGAACGGAC
RNAcentral lists this non-coding RNA (144 nucleotides) under Rhizobium sp. RNAcentral's name for it is "FMN sequence". It matches the Rfam family "FMN riboswitch aptamer (RFN element)". From Rfam's summary of the family: The RFN element is a highly conserved domain that is found frequently in the 5'-untranslated regions of prokaryotic mRNAs that encode for flavin mononucleotide (FMN) biosynthesis and transport proteins. This element is a metabolite-dependent riboswitch that directly binds FMN in the absence of proteins. In Bacillus subtilis, the riboswitch most likely controls gene expression by causing premature transcription termination within the 5' untranslated region of the ribDEAHT operon and precluding access to the ribosome-binding site of ypaA mRNA. Lineage: Bacteria; Pseudomonadati; Pseudomonadota; Alphaproteobacteria; Hyphomicrobiales; Rhizobiaceae. RNAcentral also lists the same sequence under 1 other name. The record is from RNAcentral.